Molecule: ribosomal RNA, 493 nt
Filed under: uncultured bacterium
Lineage: Bacteria
Description: partial 16S ribosomal RNA
Rfam family: Bacterial small subunit ribosomal RNA
Source: RNAcentral
GACGAACGCUGGCGGCGUGCUUAACACAUGCAAGUCGAACGGUGAAGGGACCGGUUUUUGCUGGUUCUGGAUGAGUGGCGAACGAGUGAGUAACACGUGAGUAACCUGCCACCUUCUUCUGGCUAACCGCAUGAAAGUGUAGCUAAUACGGGAUACUCUGCGCCUGCUGCAUGGGGGGUAUGGGUUAGAUAGUGGUUCGGGGAGGGAUGGGCUGGCGGCGUAUCAGGGUGGUGGUGGGGUGAUGGCCUACCAAGGCGGUGACGGGUAGCCGGCCUGAGAGGGUGGCCGGCCUGACUGGGACUCAGACACGGCCCAGACUCCUACAGGAGGCAGCAGUGUGGAAGAUGGAACAGUGGGGGCUAGCCUGCUGCAGCGACGCGGCGUGAGGGAUGGCGGCGUUCGGGGUGUAAACCUCUUUCGCUAGUGAAGCAGGCCUGUCCCUUUUGUGGGUGGGUUGACGGUAGCUGGAAAAGAAGCGCCGGCUAACUACGUG